CGUGAGAUGUUGGGUUAAGUCCCGCAACGAGCGCAACCCUUAUUGUCAGUUGCCAUCAUUAAGUUGGGCACUCUGGCGAGACUGCGGUGACAAACCGGAGGAAGGUGGGGAUGACGUCAAAUCAUCAUGCCCCUUAUGACCUGGGCUACACACGUGCUACAAUGGACGGUACAACGAGUCGCUAACUCGUGAGGGCAAGCUAAUCUCUUAAAGCCGUUCUCAGUUCGGAUUGCAGGCUGCAACUCGCCUGCA
RNAcentral lists this ribosomal RNA (252 nucleotides) under uncultured bacterium. RNAcentral's name for it is "partial 16S ribosomal RNA". It matches the Rfam family "Bacterial small subunit ribosomal RNA", at positions 1066 to 1320 of the family's 1533-position model. The record is from RNAcentral.